Molecule: ribosomal RNA, 322 nt
Filed under: uncultured Bacteroidales bacterium
Lineage: Bacteria; Pseudomonadati; Bacteroidota; Bacteroidia; Bacteroidales
Description: partial 16S ribosomal RNA
Source: RNAcentral
GGAGUCUGGUCCGUGUCUCAGUACCAGUGUGGGGGAUAAGCCUCUCAGCUCCCCUAGACAUCGUCGGCUUGGUGGGCCGUUACCCCGCCAACUACCUAAUGUCACGCAUGCCCAUCCGUAACCACAAUUAAGCUUUCGUCACCUCCCCAUGCGAGAAAGUGACAAUAUGGGGGAUUAGUGGAAGUUUCCCUCCGUUAUACCCCUGUUACGGGUAGGUUGCAUACGCGUUACGCACCCGUGCGCCGGUCGCCAUCUAUCAAAGCAAGCUUCGAUAAUGCUGCCCCUCGACUUGCAUGUGUUAAGCCUGUAGCUAGCGUUCAUC